AGUGGGGGCACAUAGAUACAUAUGCCAUCGGUUUUUUUCUAGAUUUGUUAUUGCACAGUUAUAGUCAGUUGGCUUUCUGAUAAAAUUAACAAAGGAAGUCCAAAUCUUAGCAAAUUUACAGCAUGAUUCAAACAUAAACAGCUAGGCUCAUGAGGAGUCUUUCCUGUAUGAGUCAAUCACAAUCAGACUGAUGCUUAAAAUAGAUCCUGUAGCACUUGGAUGUCAAAGCUGGUGAGAAGAAAUAGUGAGUGGGUAAACUCAAGCGUCAUCUUGUAUGAACAAGGUGUGAGAAUUUUCAUUCAGAGCACCGAAAGUAUCAUCUAUACCUGAUAAGAGGCUUUCACACAGACUGCACUGAAGGUUAAAGGAAUGUUUUAAAGAUUUUUUUAAUUGUAAGAUCUUAGCGACAAAACUUUGUGUGACUUCUUUAUUCUUUAAUUGGAGUGGGGCACCUGUUUACUUGAAUUUUCCCAUAAUAAAAACAUCGUAACGUCAUUCUGCCGCUCAUACCUCAUAUGUGACGUAUUCAUGAAUGAAAACAUGUCAAUCAAACCAUGUGGGAUUUUUUUUUUUUUUUUUUUUUUUUUUUUACGAAACACGGGGAGAUACAAUUUCAGCAACCAUGAGUCUGCAUCCAAUGCCUCACAGAUGAAAGCUCCGAAAUGUUUCAGGACGAAUGGGAAGCUUUGGAAACGUUGCCCGGUCUAGAACUUCUGCCAUCUCGCCUGUCAACUUUGUGCUACCCCAUAAUAAUAACUGUCAGCUGUCAACAACCCGACAACAAAACAGCCUUUUAUCACACUGUUUUGCACUAUGCUUGUCUCGCUAACAACCAUAGUGGCGAGACCCUGAAUGGAGGGAAACACUUGACGAUGAACACUGUGAAUAAGCAUAAAGAUGCUUUUUUGGAUAAUCCAUCUGCUCUCCUACAAGGCCAUGCACAUUGUGUAUGGCCUACAUUGCCAGCUCCAGUGAGGAUCCGGAACAGACAGGACAUUCGUCAUACUCUUCCCUGUCCUCCUUUAUGUGCCCACAGACUUCAAGGAUCGCACGGCAGAAUGACAGCGUCUCUAAUAAUGUUGCUGCAGAGGACAGCAUCCCAGUUCUUCUGCUGUAGGAAACAAGCUGCAGGCCAUUUUGACCUCUCUGACCAUGACUGCUUCCCCCUGUUUUGGCUCUUGGCUCUGGCUGUGAAGUUUAACCUCUAUGUCCUAUUAAUCAGGGGGUGUAGCAGGCCAUCAGAAGCAGCAGUUCGCAGUACAGUAAGAAAAAAUGUAAAAUCAUCACAUUGCAAGUAUUACAAUUCUAGAUCUGUAGGUUGAUGUGGCAUUUUACUGUGAAAGCUUUCAUUCUGAAUCAUGGUGGAUUUUUGUUUUUUUAAUUUUAUGUUUUAAAAUAUUCAAUCAAUCCACAUCAAUCAUGUAUCUGUGCAAUAACUAUGUGCCUGUUUCCUCAUACACACAUGCUAAUGAUUCCCAUCUCGAUUGCAUCGUCUACAUAUGGUGCACCACUGCCCCCCUGUGGAAAACAGUAAAAUAUGAUGGUCUGCAGGAUUUAAUCCUAUCAAUAAAUCUAGUUUGUCAAAAUCCAG
Molecule: long non-coding RNA, 1591 nt
Filed under: Oreochromis niloticus (Nile tilapia)
Lineage: Eukaryota; Metazoa; Chordata; Actinopteri; Cichliformes; Cichlidae
Description: lncRNA (ENSONIG00000038207.1)
Source: RNAcentral